UACAGAGGGGGCUAGCGUUGUUCGGAAUUACUGGGCGUAAAGGGCGCGUAGGUGGCCUGCUAAGUCGAACGUGAAAUCCCUCGGCUUAACCGGGGAACUGCGUCUGAUACUGGAUGGCUUGAAUCCGGGAGAGGGAUGCGGAAUUCCAGGUGUAGCGGUGAAAUGCGUAGAUAUCUGGAGGAACACCGGUGGCGAAGGCGGCAUCCUGGACCGGCAUUGACGCUGAGGAGCGAAAGCCAGGGGAGCAAACGGG
This 253-nucleotide ribosomal RNA is filed under the name uncultured bacterium. RNAcentral's name for it is "partial 16S ribosomal RNA". It matches the Rfam family "Bacterial small subunit ribosomal RNA", at positions 524 to 776 of the family's 1533-position model. The record is from RNAcentral.